CCGACUCAGUUUUUAUUUUCGUCCCAAUACUUUUCUUCCAAUGGACUAGUUGUGUUUCUUUGAUCUUGUGCAACCUCUUUAGGCCGAUGAUAGCCCGCGGAUAGGUGUGGAAACCCAUCUAUAUUGCACCCAGUACGACACAAAAAAAAAGCCCAGGCCUAGGGGUCGGGUGGGGCUCGUUCGGGUGCACAACGGUUGCGCCACAACGGUCCAAAAAUGGCCAAGGCUUUACCAUACGAAAAAUCGGCCGAUUUUUAACCAUGUGAGAAACGUCCCGAAAAUUCACAGAUAACUACUAGGAGCCUCACUCUGAGUAAUAUCAAAGUUUUUUCCCACAAGAACCGCUC
This 347-nucleotide long non-coding RNA is filed under the name Cucumis sativus (cucumber). RNAcentral's name for it is "long non-coding RNA (CSAT_LNC001743)". Lineage: Eukaryota; Viridiplantae; Streptophyta; Magnoliopsida; Cucurbitales; Cucurbitaceae. The record is from RNAcentral.